Molecule: ribosomal RNA, 253 nt
Filed under: uncultured bacterium
Lineage: Bacteria
Description: partial 16S ribosomal RNA
Rfam family: Bacterial small subunit ribosomal RNA
Source: RNAcentral
UACGAAGGGGGCGAGCGUUGUUCGGAAUUACUGGGCGUAAAGGGCGCGUAGGCGGCGACUCAAGUUAGAUGUGAAAGUCCUGGGCUUAACCUGGGGACUGCAUUUGAUACUGGGUUGCUUGAAUUCGGGAGAGGAUAGCGGAAUUCCCAGUGUAGAGGUGAAAUUCGUAGAUAUUGGGAAGAACACCGAUGGCGAAGGCGGCUAUCUGGACCGACAUUGACGCUGAGGCGCGAAAGCGUGGGGAGCAAACAGG